Pan paniscus (pygmy chimpanzee) is the source of this 886-nucleotide long non-coding RNA. The record is from Ensembl. Lineage: Eukaryota; Metazoa; Chordata; Mammalia; Primates; Hominidae.
UUUUUGUGAUAAGAGUUACAUCCAAGGUUUUUAUAUAUUAUGCAAACUUGAACACCCAUGUACAACAACCUAACACUUGAAAUUUGCUUGCUUUUAAAAUUAGUUAUCUAAUAAAAAUAGCAAUAAAGAUAGCAAUCCUUAUUCUUAGGCCAUAGUGUCAGAGGUAGAUACAGAGAAACCUUUUUUUCUGAUUACUGAAUUGUAGUUUUUAUUUUACUGAAUGAUCAAUUACUUUUUAAAAACGCUAUUUAAAUUGUUUCUUAAAGAAACAUCUACCUGAAUAAUAAAACCACACAAUUUUCUAAAGCCCCAAGAAGCUAAAUGGUUUGCUUAAGUUCACCCACCUAAGACUGGGACCCACUUCUCCUGGCUCCCAGACAGUUGCAUCAUUGAUUACACCAUUGUGCUAUUUGCAUUGAUAAUGGUUGAUAACUAAGUCUUAAAAAUUUCUAGAUCCAUCGCCAGGGUCUCUAAUGUAGGCUGUGAUCUCCAAGCUAAGUAUCCUUAUGAAACCAUUUGGAAGAAGAUUUAAACUGGCUGGAAAGUUUAAUGCUAUUAGAAAAUAUUCAUUUUGAUGUAGGAGACAACUCAAUCUGCAACUUACUAUGGAGAUGGUGGUGGAAAUAUGCUUUGGACUGAAAACUGAUCAUAGGGAUCAAUUUCUUGUACAAUUAUGAUGGAAUUUAUGAGACGAAUGGGUUGCUGCUGCCCUCUUUGGUAAGGAAAAUGGAACCUUCCAGUCUCUAUGAUCUCCCUCUAGUGUUUGAAAUUUACGGAUGCUAAAAUAUAAUUAAAAUUAGCUAGAAUAAUUCGUAUUCUUUUCUAGGCACAGCGGCCCCCUGCUCUGCUCUGCUUUCAGAUCAUGCAUGUCUGUGACAUCCGUGAG